ACGGGAGGCAGCAGUGAGGAAUAUUGGUCAAUGGGCGCGAGCCUGAACCAGCCAAGUAGCGUGAGGGAUGACUGCCCUACGGGUUGUAAACCUCUUUUGUUUGGGAAUAACAGGUGCUACGCGUAGCCCUGUGCAUGUACCUUUCGAAUAAGCAUCGGCUAAUUCCGUGCCAGCAGCCGCGGUAAUACGGAAGAUGCGAGCGUUAUCCGGAUUUAUUGGGUUUAAAGGGAGCGUAGGCGGCCUUUUAAGUCUGCGGUCAAAUGGCAGGGCCAAACCUUGGCAUGCCGUGGAUACUGAUGGGCUUGAAUGCACGCAAGGCAAGUGGAAUUCGUAGUGUAGCGGUGAAAUGCUUAGAUAUGACGAAGAACUCCGAUUGCGAAGGCAGCUUGCUGGGGUGCGAUUGACGCUGAGGCUCGAAAGUGCGGGAAUCAAACAGGAUUAGAUACCCUGGUA
RNAcentral lists this ribosomal RNA (453 nucleotides) under uncultured Paraprevotella sp. RNAcentral describes it as "partial 16S ribosomal RNA". It matches the Rfam family "Bacterial small subunit ribosomal RNA", at positions 341 to 792 of the family's 1533-position model. Lineage: Bacteria; Pseudomonadati; Bacteroidota; Bacteroidia; Bacteroidales; Prevotellaceae. The record is from RNAcentral.